CAUAUCCGUUAUUGAAGCACCAACUAACAAAAACUUCAGGUAGUGCCAAACAGUUUUCAGUACAUUAUAUUAUUGUGCUUUCAUGGCUCCACCGCAAUCAUUGGUGUUCACUGUGAGGCGGAGGGCGGCGGAGCUUGUUUCUCCGGCGGGGCCGACGCCUGGCGGGGUAAGGUAUCUGUCCGACAUUGACGACCAGGAGGGGCUGAGGUUUCAGAUUCCGGUCAUACAGUUCUACCGGAACGAUCCCGCCAUGAAGGGGAGGGACCCCGUGAAGGUUAUCCGGGAGGCGGUGGCGAGGACCCUGGUGUUUUACUACCCCUUCGCCGGCCGGCUCCGGGAGGGGCGUGGCCGGAAACUCAUGGUGGAUUGCACCGGGGAGGGGGUUAUGUUCAUUGAGGCCGACGCUGACGUCACGCUGGUGGAGUUUGGUGACGCACUACAGCCUCCGUUUCCAUGCUUGGAGGAGCUUCUUUAUGAUGUUCCUGGAUCCGGAGAAGUUCUCAAUUGCCCUUUGAUUCUUAUUCAGGUUACUCGGCUGAAAUGCGGUGGCUACAUAGUGGCAUUGCGUCUGAAUCACACUAUGAGCGAUGCCCCAGGUCUUGUCCAAUUCAUGAACGCCGUAGCGGAGGUGGCGCGUGGCGCGAGUGGGCCGUCAGUGCAGCCGGUGUGGCAAAGGGAAGUGCUGAAUGCCAGGGACCCACCCCGGGUCACAUGCACGCACCACGAGUACGAUGAAGUGCCGGAUUCCAAGGGGACAAUUAUACCAUUAGACGACAUGGUCCAUCGCUCUUUCUUCUUCGGACCGUCGGAGGUUGCCGCUCUCCGGCGGAUCCUCCCCUCCCACUUACGCAAGUGCUCCACUUUCGAGCUGCUAACGGCGUGCCUAUGGCGCUGCCGGACCACCGCCCUCCGCCCCGACCCGGAGGAGGAGGUGCGCGUGCUCUGCAUCGUGAACGCGCGGCCGCGGUUUAACCCUCCGCUCCCGGAGGGGUACUACGGCAACGCGUUCGCCUUCCCGGUGGCGCUAACCACCGCCGAGAAACUGACCAAAAAUCCCCUGGGAUACGCGCUGGAGCUGGUGAAGAAGACCAAAGCCGACGUCACGGAAGAUUACAUGAAGUCCGUGGCGGACCUUAUGGUCCUCAAGGGACGCCCGCAUUUCACGGUGGUCCGGACUUAUCUCGUCUCCGACGUGACCCGAGCCGGAUUCGGCGACGUGGAUUUCGGGUGGGGCAAGGCGGCGUACGGCGGCCCCGCUAAAGGAGGAGUCGGCGCCAUCCCCGGCGUUGCAAGCUUCUACAUACCGUUUAGGAACAAGAAAGGAGAAAAUGGAAUCGUGAUUCCAGUUUGUUUGCCGGCGUUCGCCAUGGAAACGUUCGUGAAGGAGCUUGAUAGAAUGAUAAAGGGAGAAGGCGAAUUCAUCAACGAUGAUAGUUACGCUUUCAUCAAAUCUGCCCUUUGAUUCAUUGUAGAGCUAAAUUGAAUGUUUGUGUAGAACUAUAAGUCCUAUCCAUUUGAGUAUGUAACUUUUAUUGUAUACUUGGUCUAAAAAUGUGUAUCUGUACUUGUAAGUCAAAUUCGGUUUUUGGUACGAGUAGUAGACGGUUUGUACUUUGUACAAAUAUAUAUAUGCUG
This is an RNA transcript of Ipomoea nil (Japanese morning glory), 1635 nucleotides long. It is a transcript of the gene named benzyl alcohol O-benzoyltransferase-like, with no coding region annotated. Lineage: Eukaryota; Viridiplantae; Streptophyta; Magnoliopsida; Solanales; Convolvulaceae. The transcript is spliced from 3 exons. The record is from RefSeq and is a predicted model, not a curated record.